This 460-nucleotide ribosomal RNA is filed under the name uncultured bacterium. RNAcentral's name for it is "partial 16S ribosomal RNA". It matches the Rfam family "Bacterial small subunit ribosomal RNA", at positions 338 to 795 of the family's 1533-position model. The record is from RNAcentral.
CCUACGGGUGGCAGCAGUGAGGAAUAUUGGUCAAUGGGCGCGAGCCUGAACCAGCCAAGUCGCGUGAGGGAAGACGGCCCUAUGGAUUGUAAACCUCUUUUGUCGGGGGGCAAAAGACGCCACGCGUGGCGUUCCGAGAGUACCCGAAGAAUAAGCAUCGGCUAACUCCGUGCCAGCAGCCGCGGUAAUACGGAGGAUGCGAGCGUUAUCCGGAUUUACUGGGUGUAAAGGGUGCGUAGACGGUGCGCCAAGUCUGGAGUGAAAUGCCGCAGCUGAACUGCGGAACUGCUUUGGAUACUGGCGAACUAGAGAGCGGGUGGGGUAGGCGGAAUGCAUGGUGUAGCGGUGAAAUGCGUAGAGAUUAGGAGGAACACCGAUGGCGAAGGCGGCUUACUGAGCCGUAACUGACGUUGAGGCUCGAAAGCGUGGGGAGCAAACAGGAUUAGAUACCCGAGUAGUC